UAAGAAGAUCUGUGAACGACACUGGGCA
Molecule: non-coding RNA, 28 nt
Filed under: Mus musculus (house mouse)
Lineage: Eukaryota; Metazoa; Chordata; Mammalia; Rodentia; Muridae
Source: RNAcentral